UCAAAGUUAUCUUACAUUUUCUGCUCUAAAUUGCAUUGGAAAUGGAAAAUCUCCUGAAAUUGAUGAAUUUUACUUUAAAAUAAUCAUAUCCCUCUUAUUUAAUCCUUUUCACUUAACUCUGUCUCUUCCCUCUCGUACUGUUCUUUAUACCUCCACAUAUCAUAGCCUCUUUCUUCUUCUACUCCUUCCCAUUCCUUUCUCUGCAAAGCAUCAAACGUUCUCCUUCCAUCCUCAGACACACAAACAGGGAAUUCUUCUAGGCAGCUUCUGAGUGAACAUAGAAGUCCCAGACCCUCCUUUGGAAACUCUGAGGGUUGUGGUGUGCACAGGCAGGUCUAUGUCAAAAAAACUCUAAAAGUUCUACAUUUUCUCGUAUUCUCACAGGACGUUAAAUAUCACACAGUUUUGAAUUUGGGUUUGAGCCACAGCCUUGACAUUAGAGGUUAUACACUGUGACAAAGGGGAAAAAACUCCAUUGUGAACACACUAGGGGCUUCUAAGCAGAUGGAGCAAACAGCUGACUGGAAGUUCAAGACUGAAGCAGGUGGCAGGAUUCUCCAAACACCACCAAAUCCCCGUGUCAGGCGGCACAGUGAGAGCAGCAGCGGGAGUGGGGGCUGGAGCGGGCAUGUGCCAGGACGGCUGGAGUCCAGGGAGGAAAGUCACUUUCAGUGGAGUUUGGCCAGGGUGGAUGACUGCCAGACAGUGAGGGAGAUGACUCAGCCCUGAAAACCAUCCUGGUCAUGAUUUAGUGGGAGAGGAGGGAACAGAAGGGGCAGUCAGGAACCAACAGGUGGGCUGGCCCACAAGAAAGGGUCACAGACUCACAGCAGGUGGCAGAGCAUAUGGAGGAGAAAUAUGGACGUGGGCAGGUGGGCAGGGAACCAGCCGGGGGACCUGGGAGUAUAGGACAUGCAGGCUGGAGCCUUUGAUCCUCUCUGACUGCAGUUGCUCUUCCCAGCCUGUGAAGGCCAGAGGUGCCAAAGUGUAACUUGUUGUUUUAGGUUAUUGAUCUGUUUUUAAAAGAAAUGGCUUGGGAUGACUGCAACAAUAUCCAUUUUUAAGUUAAUAGUUUAGGACUUCUUUCUCUUUUCGUGAUUUUCAAAGUGCCAAGGGGAACUGAAGAGAACAAAAUAUUCCAAAGAAUUUUAGCAGAACGGUAUUGUAAAAGAUAAGAUGAACAGAAUGAAACGCUUCUUUUAGCAUUCAAUGAGAUGGUGGUGGUACAGAGAUAAAAAGUGUAAAGUCAGGUGAAAAGAGCUGGGAUGGAGCCAGAAGACCUGAAAGUGAUCCAGCUCUGCACUGGCAUACCGCUGGAGCAGGUAAGUAACCCGCCCCAAGUCUGGUUCCCAGAUCUGUACCUGGGGACAAUGCUGACUGCACACGGUUGUGGGGCUGAAGGGGUCAAUCUGGGAAAGAGAAGAACUGCUUGAAAUAAGUGGGGCACUGUCCUCAAUGAGCAGUAGUUAGGGCAGGGCUGGGGCGUAGACUUUGGACCCACACAGCCUUGAGCUGUGUUCCUGGCUCCCUCCCAGUAGUGUUUCCACAACCAAGUUCGUGCUUUACUUGCAGAGUGAGUCUAAAAGUGAAUUCUAGCUUUUGCACAGUGCUUAUAAUUUGCAGUGUGUUUCUUCAUUCCUGUUCUUAUUGCAUCUUUGUACUAACUUUGCGACAGAAGAACGACUGAUAUUAUUAGAGGCACUUUCCAAAUGCAGAACCUUGGCUCAGAGACAACAAAUACCUGAUGUCGAGACUGCUGGUGAUGUGUCUCACAUCAGAGACUCUGAGUCCAGGACUAGUACCCUUACCUCUGCCUCACAGAUAACUGUCCACUUUAGUGCAGUGGCCCUUGAGGCUUUUCUCAGCCCCUCUGCUUGCUUUGUGGUAGCAUCAUGGAGUAGUACACUGGAAUGGAGGAACCACAGGACAAGUAUGUUUUACAGAUGUGGAAACUGAGAACUGUCAUACAGUUUGGGGCAGAGCUGGGAUUCCAACUUCUGGCCUCCCUGUUCAAAGGAUGCUAUGGAUACUCCAGGCUGAAGUGGAAGGAGGUCUUACGAAGCAUGAUGAUAGAAUGUUCAAAAGAGAAUUCAAAGAGAAAUAUUCUGGUAAGAAGGAGGCAAUUAUUAGAAGAAAUAUCUAAAAACCUACCCUAAGAAAGGUCAUCUAUUCAACCUUGCACAGAAGUGGAAGGAGGAGGACUUAGACUUGGUUGACGUUCUUAUUUGUUUCUACCAUCACCUCCAUAUCCAUCUUUAAUUAUAAGAAAAAAAUUUAAGUAGGAAAGUAUAUUAAGUAAUGUUCCUUGUGGGGAAAAAAAUCUUACUUUUGAUUUUUCAUAUAUUUUCCAGAAGCUUAAUUAUGAGGAGUGCUAGCUCUUCAAGAAAAAAACUUAGAAAAUAUUUUAAAUAAAAUUAGUUUGCUUCCAAAGCCCCAGAUGGAAGAGGUACCCACUACCUGCCUGUAGCACCAAUGUCAGCUUAUCUCUAAUUACCUUACCUACUUCAGGUGUUUGUCUAAGAAUGCUGCAGUCUCAGAGCUCAGCUGGGAGUAACCCUAUGAGUGGAGAAGCAUUGACAGACCAAGUUUAAAAAUCUGGCUCCACUUUAUUGAUCAAUGAAUUUAAAAUAGGUCAGGAUUUCCUGGUGACUUACAUCAGGGUUUAAACAGUAUUUCGCAUACCAGGUGGAAGAUGUGGUCUAUAAUAAUUUCUUUGGGCACACUGGCUGUGACUGGGUGACUCCAGGGUGGCAGUUGGCUGUUAUUUAUUUAUUCUGCAGAGAUACAUGUGUCUCAAUCUGAAGAGCAGCUCAGAGAAGUUGGUAGAGUCCCAUUGUCAGAAACAAAGCAAAGCAAAAAAGUGGAAUAAGACCAACAUUCAGUAAGCGUGGUAUGACAACACCUGGAAGUGAAGAUCAAAUUUUGUACCUGCGCAUCAGCCUUAUUAUUUGAACUUCAUAUUGGAGCUGGAAGCCAAGAGUUCUAAACCUAUUCCUAGAUAUAGACAAGCUUCAUGUGCAACAUGACCAGACAACUGAACUGAUGAUGAAUAGUGUAAAGCUGCAUCUCCUCCCACAGGUUGGGGAUGGUGGCAACGUCCAGAUAAAGGACAUACAUCCUGAGAGAAGGCAUGUUGUCAUCACUGAUCACAGAGGGUCUGGGUUGGACAACUGAUCUCCUAAUUGACUCCUCAGCAAUUACGACACAGUGAUUUCCUGGGUCAAUCUUGAUUUCAGAAAUGUUCAAAAUAAAUGUGUCACACACAAACUCUCCACACACGAUGGAGAAAACACUGUUCUGCCCGAGUGUGGCUCACUGAUCCAGGGGCACCUACCUGGGGAAUGAUGAAGCCAUCCUGAGAUGUGCUUAUGUGGGCAGCCUCCCAGCAGAACAACACCUUCUCAGAUGCAGGUCACCAUAUUCAUUCCCUUUCUAAGCAUUUUGGCUGAGAAAGGAGCUUUUGGUUUAGGUAGCAAAUACAAGCAAAGAUGUCAAUAACACCUUGCUUUGAAGGAUGCUUUCAUGUUUUAACAAGUGAUCUCAAGUCUAUCUGACCCACAUGGCCACUCUAAGUCAUGGGGAGAACAGUGCUGCAUGACUUUACAUGGGUCAGGCAGGAACAUGCAUUUAUUACAAGGCAAUACAUAAGAAAAACUUAGAAGAUGGAAACUAUGGGGCAAACAGUGGAUGUGUCAACAUGAAGGGAAAUUUUGAUUUUGCAUCCUCCAGUGACUCAAGAGUUGUGGCAUAAGUAGACUGGGAGACUAGCCCUAGGUAAAGCCCAUACUGAGAAAAAUUAUCACCCCUUAUCCUUUCUAAAAUCAAAGAUGUACCAGCUGGGGCUCAGAGUAGUGCUGUAGCAAGUACCUGGCCAGGUGUGACUAGACCGGUAUCAUGGCCUGGAAGGUGGUAUGCAUUUUCACUAGGUCUCACUGACUUUUCCCAUCCAAGAUUGGGCUUUAAAAUAUAUUUUUACAUAAUAUGAUCCAAUCACUAUCUUGUUAAAGUUAUAUAGCACUGAAGAAUAACAUAGGCUACAAGAUUGAUAGCAUGGAAUUGAAAAAAUGCAUAUAUAUUUGUAACUCUAUUAAUAGUUUGCUGGGAUUUUUACUCAUAACAAGAAUGUGAGUUUCAUGGGGUUUCAAGAGUAAAUCUAGGGCUAGUCUGAACAAGAGACUGACCUCAUGGGAAACUGGGUUUUCUUGAUAACCAGAAAUAUUGAAACUUGGAUUUUGGAUUAGUUAUCUGAAUCUUUUGAAAAAUUAUCACUUUGGUUCCCCAUCUGAAAAUAGGAGCAAAAUCAUGUUUCUACCUUCCUCUUGAGGGUGUAAGUCAACUAAACAAAAUGAAGUGAGCAAAGCUCUUUGCAUUUCUUGGGAAGAGAGUGCUAAGGAGUGACUGCUUACUAAAUACUCAGUUCUGAGUGGAGCCCAGAUUUCACAGGCUUACUUAGCUGCCAUGCAUCUGACUUCCCAGCAGUACACACUGGAAAUGAGAUGAGCUAGUGGCACUCAGAUUUAUGAUCUGGAGACUUGAGUUUUAAUUCUGUCUCUUGAGGGCUGCAGACACAUCUUUGUCUUGUCUCCUAAUUUCCUUUAUGUUUAAGAGAAGAAGAUCACUAUUCACUUCCUUAAAGGAAAUUGGUGACCUAUACCAGAAAUGUAGUCAAAGUGAUAUAGUAGGGUUCUUAUUUUGUGGCAUCCUUAUGCGAUGUUCAAGUAUUCCAGAAAAUCGCUUUUUAUCUCUGAUUCGAUGACUUGUUAAUGCUAAACUUGUCAAAAUGUGGUUUUACUUCCAGAAUUUAAAUGUAGUUAACGUACUUAAUAUCUCUUAACUACUGUUUAUAACAACCAUCUUUUCCUCUUCUUGUCCUUUUACUUCCACCAAUAUCUAGGAAUGGCAAAGCAUAAUUAGAAUGAAAAGUGAUACUUGGUUUAAACUCAGGCAGGAGAGGAGGAGGAAUUGAAAAGAAAUAGAACAUGGAAAAGAUAUAGGAAUAACAGAAACACCAUUCUUUACAUCACUUGACAGUUUUUGACACUGACUUACUCAGUUUGUAAGUUCUUAGACGAUUUACAAUGAAUAAAAGGAGAUACAGAAUUUUGAUGAUUUGCCAAAGGACGCACAGUUACCCAAUGCUUGAACAGGGUUUGAAUGCAAGACCAAGGGAUUCAAGCCCAUGCUCUUAGUAGAGGGAAAGAAGGGCGAAAGAGUAGACUCAUGGCUUCUAUAGCAGCUGUAGAAGAAAAGCUGUAGAUGGAGAAGAUGGCUGGAGGUGAGAGAAGGAAGAGGACAGACCAAGAUGGGCAACCAAGAUGUGUUCUGUAAAACUAAUUCUUCAUAGAAGCAUGCCUUUUGUGCCUUCAAUACAAUCAUUCACUUUAUUGGGUUUCAUUCAAAGGGUCUAGCAGAUUCAAGGUGCUGUCUGAAAUUUCUAGACAUUUGCACUGGUUUUGUGAUUUUCUACUUUUAAAGGAAUUUAUUUCUGUGCCACAGAGUCUAUAUAAGAAUAAUUUAUUCCAAAAUACUUGCAGAGUGCCCAAGACAUUAUUUAUCUUUGCAUCCUAGAAUUGGCCUUUCUAUCUUAGAGAUAAGUAUAUUGAGGAAAAAAAGGAAAAUCCAACUGAUUUUAGAUUUUAGAGUAGAUGUUUGGAAGGACUUCAAGGUAUGUAACACCCAUGAGGGUUUUGAUGGUUUGUUUAUUUGCUUUUCAGUCUUUUAUUUUCAUACAUAUGUAUAUAUUUACAAAAGUAUAUACAAAUUAUUUACUAAUCUGAUUUUUUUCUAUGUAUAUUUUGGAUGUGUUUCCAAGGAAAUACAGCACAUCAAUAUCUUUUUUUGUUGUUUUUUUAUUGACUUUUUUUUAGAGCAGUUAAGGUUCACAGCAAAAUUGAGAAGAAAAUAUAGAGAUUUUCCAUAUAUUCCCUGACCCCACACAUGGGUAGCCUCCCCCAUUAUCAACAUCCCCCACCAGAUAGUACCUGUGUUACAAUUGAUGAACUACAUUGACA
This is a non-coding RNA of Equus caballus (horse), 6011 nucleotides long. The record is from RefSeq and is a predicted model, not a curated record. Lineage: Eukaryota; Metazoa; Chordata; Mammalia; Perissodactyla; Equidae.